RNAcentral lists this ribosomal RNA (590 nucleotides) under Trichinella sp. T6. RNAcentral describes it as "partial large subunit ribosomal RNA". The stretch from base 373 to 524 matches the Rfam family "Bacterial large subunit ribosomal RNA", at positions 1794 to 2010 of the family's 2925-position model. Lineage: Eukaryota; Metazoa; Nematoda; Enoplea; Trichinellida; Trichinellidae. The record is from RNAcentral.
CCCUAAAAACCUAAACAACUCCCAACAAACUUCCUUUUGCAUAAGGAGUAACCAAAAAUCUAGAUCCAAAUCUACAAUAGAAAGAUAGUAAACUACGAGUACUUAAAAUUUACAUGAAAUCUAACAUUAAAAUACUCGAAGAGACAUUCAAUACACUAUCUGAUAACCAUUUCAAAAUAAACUUAGUACAAACUAAGUAAAACAUUAUAUAAUUCAAGCUAUUAGGCUUAGAAUCAACCAAUACAAUAGUUCGUAAUUGACUAGCUUAACACAAUAAUAACUUAUCCCAAAUCACUCAAAACCAAAGACUGAUAAACCAUGGUUACAUUAGUAAGAGCAACAAAAUCUACAUGUUACAAUUCGGCAACAAACCCUCUACUGUUUAAUAAAAACAUUGUAAUAUAAAUAUAUUAUAACCUCCUGCCCAAUGAAAAUAAUUAAAUGGCCGCGGUAAUUUGACCGUGCAAAGGUAGCAUAAUCAAUUGUUUAAUAAAUUUAAACUAGAAUGAAAGGAGUAAAGAAAGUUUACUAUUAACAUGUAAUCAACAGAAAUUAUAAUUAAGGUGAAAAUUCCUACAGCAAUCUAAAAC